Molecule: non-coding RNA, 99 nt
Organism: Acanthosepion pharaonis
Lineage: Eukaryota; Metazoa; Mollusca; Cephalopoda; Sepiida; Sepiidae
Source: the annotation of a GenBank genome assembly
AUGGAAAUAUGGGUUCCCAUAUGAAUACCAAAGUUAAGCAACAUUGAGCCUGGCCAGUACCUAGAUGGAUGACCGUUUGAGAAUACCAAGUGCUGUAAG